AGAGUUUGAUCCUGGCUCAGGAUGAACGCUGGCGGCGUGCUUAACACAUGCAAGUCGAACGAUUAACCCAAACUUCGGUUUGGUUAUAAAGUGGCGAACGGGUGAGUAACACGUGACCAACCUGCCUUCUAGAUCGGGAUAACUCAAGGAAACUUGUGCUAAUACCGGAUACUCCGAUUUAAUCGCAUGAUAAUUUCGGGAAAGCUUUUGCGCUAGAAGAUGGGGUCGCGGCCUAUUAGGUAGUUGGUGGGGUAGAGGCCUACCAAGCCUGCGAUAGGUAGCCGGGUUGAGAGACUGAUCGGCCACAUUGGGACUGAGAUACGGCCCAGACUCCUACGGGAGGCAGCAGUGGGGAAUUUUGCGCAAUGGGGGCAACCCUGACGCAGCAACGCCGCGUGCGGGAUGAAGGUCUUCGGAUUGUAAACCGCUUUCAGUAGGGAAUAUUAUGAAGGUACCUACAGAAGAAGCACCGGCUAAAUACGUGCCAGCAGCCGCGGUAAUACGUAUGGUGCGAGCGUUAUCCGGAAUCAUUGGGCGUAAAGCGCGCGUAGGCGGCUUGUUAAGCAGGAAUUUAAAUCUUAGGGCUCAACCUUAAGUCGGUUCCUGAACUGGCAGGCUCGAGUGCGGUAGAGGAAGGUGGAAUUCCCAGUGUAGCGGUGAAAUGCGCAGAUAUUGGGAAGAACACCGAUGGCGAAGGCAGCCUUCUGGGCCGUCACUGACGCUGAGGCGCGAAAGCUGGGGGAGCGAACAGGAUUAGAUACCCUGGUAGUCCUAGCCGUAAACGAUGGGCACUAGGUGUGGGGAGGAAUACUUUCCGUGCCGCAGCUAACGCAUUAAGUGCCCCGCCUGGGGAGUACGGUCGCAAGACUAAAACUCAAAGGAAUUGACGGGGGCCCGCACAAGCAGCG
Molecule: ribosomal RNA, 908 nt
Filed under: human gut metagenome
Description: bacterial SSU rRNA
Rfam family: Bacterial small subunit ribosomal RNA
Source: RNAcentral